Molecule: transfer RNA, 65 nt
Filed under: Gesiella jameensis
Lineage: Eukaryota; Metazoa; Annelida; Polychaeta; Phyllodocida; Polynoidae
Description: tRNA-Arg
Source: RNAcentral
AGAAUAAAACUACAUUUAGUAUUUUGAUUUCGGCUCAAAAAUUUUUGAAAUAUUCAAUUAUUCUU